GAUGAACGCUAGCGGCAGGCCUAAUACAUGCAAGUCGAGGGGUAUGGGUUGCUUGCAACCCAGAGACCGGCGCACGGGUGCGUAACGCGUAUGCAAUCUACCUUAAUCAGGGGGAUAGCCCGGAGAAAUCCGGAUUAACACCGCAUAACAUUGAGUUGCGGCAUCACAGUUCAAUCAAAUAUUUAUAGGAUUAAGAUGAGCAUGCGUGACAUUAGUUAGUUGGUGAGGUAACGGCUCACCAAGACCACGAUGUCUAGGGGAUCUGAGAGGAUGACCCCCCACACUGGUACUGAGACACGGACCAGACUCCUACGGGAGGCAGCAGUAAGGAAUAUUGGUCAAUGGGCGCAAGCCUGAACCAGCCAUGCCGCGUGCAGGAAGACGGCCCUAUGGGUUGUAAACUGCUUUUGUACCGGAAUAAACCUUCUCUUGCGAGAGAAGCUGAACGUACGGUAAGAAUAAGGAUCGGCUAACUCCGUGC
This 481-nucleotide ribosomal RNA is filed under the name uncultured bacterium. RNAcentral's name for it is "partial 16S ribosomal RNA". It matches the Rfam family "Bacterial small subunit ribosomal RNA", at positions 28 to 508 of the family's 1533-position model. The record is from RNAcentral.